This is a long non-coding RNA of Drosophila simulans, 1557 nucleotides long. RefSeq lists it as uncharacterized. NCBI's taxonomy places the organism in Eukaryota, Metazoa, Arthropoda, Insecta, Diptera, Drosophilidae. The record is from RefSeq and is a predicted model, not a curated record. The transcript has 2 exons.
UUGAUAAACUUUUUAUUGCUUCCAAACAAUUUAAAAUCGAGAGCGAGUGGUUGGUUGGUAGCUGCCUGAAUUACAAUAAUGCUCCGCUUGGGUUCGGUUUGUUGAUGGCUUCGGCCGAUUGGCAAGACAAACGGCUGCAGCUGCUUGCGAUGAACUGGAGUGAGGCUAUGACAGCAUUCGAAUUCGAAUUGUGCCUGAUUGCACGGUUCCUGACACAUAUCGCAAUGCAAUGGAGCAUGAAAUAAAUGAGAGGCCGCCGGUUGGAUGCGACUCGAGAAGUAGUCCUUCCGGCGGUUUCCUCCAACCAAAACAAGAUGCCCCACCAAGCCAAGGCACCACCCUCGAUGUCACUGAUGGUCUUUGGACAUUUUACGCCUUUUACACAGUUGACUGCAUAAAUUCAUGGCCGGGAUAUGGUUACGCAUUUUAAACAACACUCCUCGGCUAAAUCCGGAAUCGAGUCAAGUGGUUCCUGCGGAUGGGUUGCGGUGGCACGAAAUGGACCUUUGUUUCUUCGAAAUAAGAAGGAACUUGGCAAACAUCAACACAGCUUGGCAGCAAACGGCGUGGACUACAAAUAGCUGCAGCAGCUUAAAGCUGAUUUAACAAAGUUGGCUCUAUCUUCUGUCGCACUUGUUGCCCCGCUGCUCGGGACUCGGAACAAGUUUUCUUUUGGCCCCCGAGCAUUGCUCAUUAUUGCGAAAUGUUCGGGGCUAAGCUUUAGUUUCAAGUUUGAUUUGUUUACACAUGAGUUUUUGGCGAGACCGACGGGAGAUUGUUUUGCUGCCAGCUAACAAGUUGCAAAUUAAGCUAAAAUGUGUAUUUUGGCAAAAGUGCAGGGGGCUUGGUGGGUGGUGGUUCUGGGCUUCUGGGCGUUGGGUGCUUAGUGCUUGGCAAGGACUUUGGUAUACAAAUACAUGCAUGUAAACGAGCAUAAAAACCGCACAGUCAAACGCACUAACAAGCAGCAGUAAUCAGUGUGGCAGCAACAAAAGUGAAAAGCCAACAACACACUUGCUGCAUGCAGCACAUGCUGCAGGAGGAAAUUACAUGCACAGAAGUUGAAACAAUGGCUGCAAGUCUGGCCCAGCCCAGGCUCGCUGCUCAUCACCGAGCUAGCCAUCGCCAGCGCCAUCAUCAUCAGCAUCCCCGUCGUCCUCAUCAUCCCCCCCAUCAUUAUCAUCAUCAUCAGCAGGAAAAGCAAAAGCGGCAGCAUCAGUUGCUGCGGGCAGGACACCACCUCCCCCAAAAGGCUAUUGACCCAAUUUCUGGGCAAACAAUGGACCAGCAGAAAAGAAAUCACAAAAGCGUAGCCAAAUCUCGGGACCAAGCCAAAAACCACUUGACAAUCCUGGCUAGAUCUGCUGGUGCUGCACAGAGAAAAAAAUGGAAGAUUUAUCUUGCUUUAAUCCGGCAAUCCGAAAGUUGAUGGUCAUUUAAGCCUCAGCUGAGUAAAGUAUUAGAGUUUUUAAGGGAGAAACAUGGGAGAAAUAUGGUUGAAAUAAUUUCAGUUUCACGAGACCUUGAAGUUAAAUAUAUGAGGUACAUUAUUUUUAG